This is a long non-coding RNA of Perognathus longimembris pacificus (Pacific pocket mouse), 316 nucleotides long. RefSeq lists it as uncharacterized. The record is from RefSeq and is a predicted model, not a curated record. Lineage: Eukaryota; Metazoa; Chordata; Mammalia; Rodentia; Heteromyidae. The transcript has 3 exons.
UGUGACAGAGUAGUGACAAAGAUUGUGGUCUGAUACCAUCUUCUGGGCAAAAAUCUGAACCCUUACCCCCAAAAUAAUUAAAGCAAAAAGGGCUGGGGGUAUAUGAGAAGUGGUAGGGCACCUGCUUAACAAAUGCAAGGCCUUGAGUUCAAAGGCUAGUAGUGUCAGAAGAGAAAGAAAAGGUGACUUUGGGCUGCCACCUUGGAGGCUACCUUCCAUCUAUUGGGACACUAGGGAAACUGAGGCCUAAGAAGGCUCCAUCGCCUCCUUUGGCCUCUAGUCCCAAGGCUGAACAAGGGGUCCUCUGCACAGGUUG